AGUAAAAAGAAAAAAGAAUAAUUACAAGAAAAUGAAAAAGAAAAAAGGAAAAUAGAAUAAUUACAAGAAAAUGAAAAUGAGACUGUAUGUAUUAAAGGAAACCAACUCAAUCAUUUUUCCAGUGUUGCAUUAGCACCACCUGUAUUAUUGUGAGAUCCUCAUAAUCCUAACAAACAUAUCAAUCUCAUCAAAACAAUACGAAAAACCCUAUCAUAAUCAUUGGUGACGCAAGAAUAAAAUUGAAAAUAAGAGGAAACACAAAUGAAUAGGGUGACAAAAUAAAAAAGGUAGAGAUGUAUAACCUUCAAAAGAUUAACCUAUAUCAGAAAUCACAUGAUCCGUACAUUUGAUAGAUAAGAAAGAAAAUUACUCAUAAAAGAUACAAAAAAAGGAAAAUAUGACAAUUUUUCAGUAAUACGUAUUUUUUUACCCUUUGUAUUUUGUUUAUACAAUCAUAAAGUGAUUAUGAACCAGAGAUUUCUAUUAAGUAUUGUAAGCUAAAUAUUUGUAUUAAAUACAUCCUCAAUUAUAUAAAUCAAUCAAACAUGUAAUGAGUAUUAAACAUUGACAUUAAAUAGUUUAGAAAGAUAUGUAUUAAACAUCAAAAUUAAUUAAAUAUAUACUUAUAUCCUUAAGAACAUAAAAUGUCAUCUUCUAUAUUCUGAUAAUUAAACAAUUAACAUAAGUUAUACAGAUUAAAAAAUAUGCUAAAAUACUAAUUAUAAGUAGAAAAUGAAAAAGAAAAAAGAAAAAAGAGUAAUUACAAAAAAUGAAAAAGAAAAAAAGAAAAUGAAAAAAAGAAAAUGAAAAUGAGACUGUAUGUAUUAAAGGAAACCAACUCAAUCAUUUUUCCAGUGUUACAUUAGCACCACCUGUAUUAUUUUGAGAUCCUCAUAAUCCUCAAAAAACAUCUCAAACUCAUCAAAAUAAUACGAAAAACCCUAUCAUAAUCAUUGGUGACGCAAGAAUAAAAUUGAAAAUAAGAGGAAACACAAAUGAAUAGGGUGACAAAAUAAAAAGGGUAGAGAUGUGUAGCCUUCAAAAGAUCAACCUAUAUCAGAAAUCACUUGAUCUGUACAUUUGAUGGAUAAGAAUGAAAAUUACUCAUAAAAGAUAGAAAGAAAAAGAAAAUAUGACAAUUUUUCAGUAGUACUAUUUUUUUUACCCUUUUUACUUUGUUUAUACAAUCAUAAAGUGAAUCUGAACCAGAGAUUUCUAUUAAAUAAUGUAACCUAAAUAUUUUCAUUAAGUACAUCCCCAUUUAUAUAAAUAAAUCAAACAUGUAAUGAGUAAAAAAAUUUUUGAGAUUAAAUAGUUUAGAAAGAUAUGUAUUGAACAUCAAAAUUAAUUAAAUAUAUACUUAUAUCCUUAAGAACAUAAAAUGUCAUCUUCUAUAUUCUGAUAUUUAAACAAUUAACAUAAUUUAUACUGAUUAAAAAAUAUGCUUAAAUACUAAUUAUAAGUAGAAAAUGAAAAAGAAAAAAAAAGAAUAAUUACAAGAAAAUGAAAAAGAAAAAAAUAAAAUAGAAUAAUUACAAGAAAAUGAAAUUGAGACUGUAUGUAUUAAAGGAAACCAACUCAAUCAUUUUUCCAGUGUUACAUUAGCACCACCUGUAUUAUUGUGAGAUCCUCAUAAUCCUAACAAACAUCUCAAUCUCUUCAAAACAAUACGAAAAACCCUAUCAUAAUCAUUGGUGACGCAAGAAUAAAAUUGAAAAUAAGAGGAAACACAGAUGAAUAGGGUGAGAAAAUAAAAAAGGUAGAGAUGUGUAACCUUCAAAAGAUCA
This 1787-nucleotide long non-coding RNA is filed under the name Lathyrus oleraceus (garden pea). Its description in RNAcentral is "Pisum sativum (pea) long non-coding RNA (PSAT_LNC040104)". Lineage: Eukaryota; Viridiplantae; Streptophyta; Magnoliopsida; Fabales; Fabaceae. The record is from RNAcentral.